CAGCCGCCGCGGGAAUACGUAGGGUGCAAGCGUUAAUCGGAAUUACUGGGCGUAAAGCGUGCGCAGGCGGUUCGCUAAGACAGAUGUGAAAUCCCCGGGCUUAACCUGGGAACUGCAUUUGUGACUGGCGGGCUAGAGUAUGGCAGAGGGGGGUAGAAUUCCACGUGUAGCAGUGAAAUGCGUAGAGAUGUGGAGGAAUACCGAUGGCGAAGGCAGCCCCCUGGGCCAAUACCGACGCUCAUGCACGAAAGCGUGGGGAGCAAACAGGAUUAGAUACCCCUGUAGUCCCUGUCUCUUAUAC
This 301-nucleotide ribosomal RNA is filed under the name uncultured bacterium. RNAcentral describes it as "partial 16S ribosomal RNA". It matches the Rfam family "Bacterial small subunit ribosomal RNA", at positions 509 to 807 of the family's 1533-position model. The record is from RNAcentral.